Molecule: ribosomal RNA, 492 nt
Filed under: uncultured bacterium
Lineage: Bacteria
Description: partial 16S ribosomal RNA
Rfam family: Bacterial small subunit ribosomal RNA
Source: RNAcentral
AGUGAACGCUGGCGGUAGGCCUAACACAUGCAAGUCGAACGGCAGCACAGUAAGAGCUUGCUCUUACGGGUGGCGAGUGGCGGACGGGUGAGGAAUACAUCGGAAUCUACUUUUUCGUGGGGGAUAACGUAGGGAAACUUGCGCUAAUACCGCAUACGACCUACGGGUGAAAGCAGGGGAUCUUCGGACCUUGCGCGAUUGAAUGAGCCGAUGUCGGAUUAGCUAGUUGGCGGGGUAAAGGCCCACCAAGGCGACGAUCCGUAGCUGGUCUGAGAGGAUGAUCAGCCACACUGGAACUGAGACACGGUCCAGACUCCUACGGGAGGCAGCAGUGGGGAAUAUUGGACAAUGGGCGAGAGCCUGAUCCAGCCAUACCGCGUGGGUGAAGAAGGCCUUCGGGUUGUAAAGCCCUUUUGUUGGGAAAGAAAAGCAGCAGGUUAAUACCCCGCUGUUCUGACGGUACCCAAAGAAUAAGCACCGGCUAACUUCGUG